UUUUAGUUGCUAACCAGAGAAUUCUGCAUUUUUCAAAGAAAAGAGGAUAUUAGUAGCUGAAACAUAAGGGCUACUAUUAUAGUUGUAUUUGCCAUCUUGUUUUAGUUUUGACAGAAGACAAUGAUGGUAAACAAUAGAAUCUAUAAAAUUAAUUAUAAAGUCAAUGUUUUUCAGGAUAAUGAGGCUCUAACUCAACAUUCUAAUUUUAAUGGGCUGAAUAACUUGAAGUCAUUACAUAUGUCUAGAGACACAUAUCUGUAUAGGUUCAGAUUUUUUAAUACAAAAUUGAGAGAAUUUUUGAAAAAUUUUAGCCAAAAUGAACCAGAUCCAGUUGUAAUACAAGAAGACUGUAAGUUACUGGUAUGUGUGAUGCAUGUGCUGUGUGAAUCACCCUGGAAAGGAGUGUAAUGCCAUUGCUAAUCAAUUGUAUUACUGCCACCUUUGUGUUCUCUGCAUUUUUUAUUACUGCAUAUUUCUCCAUGGUCAGAAUAAAAAUCUAUUUAUUUGUCAAGCCAAGAGCCUAACUGGCAUCUUCUUUCAAGAUAGCAGGUAGAAUGUGCUAGUCUGUAAUGGACUGAGGAUUACUGUUCAAUUGCUUCUCUUCUCAAGAGGACAAAAAUAUUAGCAAUGACAAUUUUGAUUGUCUUUGGAUGAGUUCUGUUUAGAAUGUGGCUCAUCAUUGAAACAGAAGGAGCUGCCUCAAUUCGGAGUCCAUAAACAGUGUCACAGUGCAUACAGCACAAGGAGGCUUUUGAAAUUGUGAAAAUUCUUCUGCAAGGAAUUGUUUUUCUUGAGCCCUGUAAGCAGGCAAGAGCAGUCUGAGCUCUGUAUCUGAUAAGCUGUGUUUUGUGAUAGAGAUUCUGGAAAAGCAGAAACUGCUGUAGGAAAUAAUUGUGUUGAUGAUCUGCCUCUAGACCGUGUCUUUAUGGCUUUGCUGAACACACCAGUCCUUGCAAAUAUUCCUCAAGCACUUGCACGAAACAAAGCCCAAAACCUUUCCAGAGUGUGCUGGUGAUUCCUGGCUCUGUUGUUGAGGUGGCAGCCUGGCCAGGGGACUGAGAGCCAGCUCGUUGGUGUUGCAGAGUGAAGUGUUCAGGUAAUCAAUGAUGUUUAAAAUGAAAAAUGUUACUAGGAUAGCUUGAAGUUCAGCUGCUGCAGAAGAGAAGGGGAGUGGUGAUUCCUGUCUGUUUUCUUCCCCUUUCCUGUUUUCUCACUGCCACCCUCAAAAUCAGGUUGUGCAGCAACAGAAUUUUAUAUCAGAUCUUCCAUUUUGCUCCUUGCCAUUAUUUAGGAUCUAGUUGCAGCUGCAUUGUGUAUGCUUAACAAAUAAAAGCUUUCAGAGAACAUCAUUCAAUUCCCACCUCCUGCUAAGGGUUUUGGAAGUGUAAUACAUCACAGAAUCAAAAUGACUUUCACUAAAAGUUCAUGCUGUUUAAAUCACACCAAAUGUUAUAUUGAGCUGUAGCAUACAUAAUUCAUGUAUCAUUAACAGCUUCUACAAGUCUCUGGCUGCAUGGCAUACCAAUGAAUCAGAAUGUGUGGGUAUUUUUUUGGUACUUUCCUUUCCUUAAAUUGUAUUUAGAAGCAACAGCAUGUAAUUAUACUAACUUGGAAAAUCAAACAGGCAUGUAAUAAAUUAUGGUUUGUGAUUGACAUGGAAAAGUAAGUCUCUUUUCUUUCCUGAUGUUGAGUAAAGCAAGCUAUUUUAAACUGGAAAGACUCGAUAGAUUUUUUUGCUGCUGUUAGUAUUAUAAAUAAAAAUCCAUUUUCAUUGUUUACCAUGUGAGAAUUCUCCUACAGUCACUUGAUGCAUUACAUGGCUGAUGAAUCAACAGUGUCCUUUAAUAAGAAAGACAUGUUUGUCUGGUUAGUUUGAAUCUGUUUCCCAUGGUGCUGUCUCAACAAGGGAACAUGGUCAGGGAGAUGGCCAUGGCAUCACUGAUGUGUUGGCCUGGUACUUGUGUCCACACGAGAUGUUUGGCAUGUUAUAACAGUCCCAGUUCCACGGGUGUAUGUGGCUGUCAUCCCUGCCAUUAUCCUCCUCCUGUCACACAAGUGUCAGAGGCAGGACAUCUGCAAGUGGCAACAGGAGCUGCUCAAAUCCCCAUGGCAGAUUUAGGAAUGCUGCAGCAACGGACUGAAUCCAAACCAUAGGUCCUCCUGCAUGUGAGGAUUGUAAUUGUCAUUAAGCAUCAGAAGGCAGAGAAAUACCCUGCCUGUUCAGUACAGGAGGAUGUUGACUGGGUUGCUGGAUAACCCAGGAACAGUAGGGCUACCCUGUGAUCCAUGGUUGCCAACAAAAAGAAGCUUUCUGUCAAAAUUAUGGAACGCUCUUGGUUUUCCUGCUAUAGACUUCUCCAGUCAGUUUGGUUACCUUUGGGACAGCAUCUGAUUGUGAGCAUUAGCCCUUGUAUAACUGUAGCACAGCACAGGGGGAUCUGUGGGGACUGCAUCAUCUGUGGGAUAAUCUGGGUGUUGAUCUGCCACCGCCUUGUGAUGAAGGUGGUGACUGAGGCAAAGCUGCUCAGAACUGUAGGAAAUGUUUCCCUGAGUGGACAAGUUGGUGAGUUAGGAAGCUUAGCCUUGCUCAUAGGAAGCAUGUGCCUAGCACAGGCAAAUGAGUACUGACACACCUGUGUGACCCUCUGGGACAGAGGGAACUGCAGCAAAACCUCAGGGGGCUGGUAUUAAACUCCUAAAUGAUUUACUUUUGUGAAAGGGACGCUCAGAAAAUGAGGACAUCUAGAAAAAACAUAAACUGCUAAAAAUGUUGGUACCUUCUAAUUCAGCAAAUAUUUCUGCCUAUUUCAUUCCCCCUAAAGCUUCAUGUUUUUAAAGAGUAGCAGAAUGAUCAUCUCUCUGAGUCUGAGCAGAACAGAGCAGCUGCACUCUGUCCUUUCACUGCAGGGUCUUUGCUCCUUCUUUCCACUGAACUGUGGUUAAAUGAGCUGGAGCAAAUUACACUCACCCUUGGAAUCUGGGGAAAAAAAUUACCUUAUCAAACCUCGUUUUAAUUAAAUAUUGGGACCUACCAAAUAUUUUUACCAGGUACCUGUGACAUAACAAUAAAAAAUGGAAAACGUUCUUGUGAAAAAUGGUGUAGCUUUAAUAUCAUUAACAAUUAAUGGGACAGGCCUUUUAGUAUGUAAUUUACCUUUUAAAAAUAAAUUUGAGACUUAAUUUUUCUUUUAAUGCUGAUUUACCACUGUUUAUAACCAGGAAAAAUUAAGCAGUAAAAUAAGGGCUAGUGAAGCUGGGAGAAAUGUAUAAAUCAUGCCUAAAAGCUUUGUGGUCAGAGUUGCUGGCACUUCUAGCAGGACUGUGUGUUACACUGCAAGUGAGGAGCCCUCUUGGGCAUGGAACUAUUUGUUCAAGUUCUUAGGUCUGACUUUUCUCUGUACAAUUCAAGCUGUGUUUAAGUCACGUCUGGUGUAACCAACCCUGCCAUCUGUAAAAGCAGAUCUGCUCCACUUCAGCCCCGGUGUCUGGGAUGGGGAGGGCAGUGGGGCCAUGGCUGAGGGGCAGCAGAGGCAGGGGCUGCAGCUGAAAACACCGUUUUCCUCUCCCCAGAGCUUUGCUUGGCGUUCACCUGUGUGACUCUGUUAUUUAGGCUGUAAGCAAACAUAUGACACGUUAAUGAGUUCUCUGUCUGGUUGGUUCCUUCUGAAAUGUAUGAUUCCCAGUUUAGAAGCAUCAUCUCAGCAUUUAAAUGAAUCUCUAAUUGUAGGCAGGUACCAUAUGUAUCUGCAUACAGGUGUGUACAAAUACAAAAAGGUUUUUAACUGCUUUCAGUCACAGCUCUCAAAGGUAUGGCACAGGCAGCCCCAGACUGCACCAUCACCUGGUUUACCUGGGCGUGAAUCCACAUGGUAUAUCCCUGGUGAAAAAGAGCCUGAGUAUUUAGAACAAGUAAAAUUCACUAAUAAUCACUAUUGAAUUUGCUAUAGGUUUUGCAUGGAAUUUCUGUGUUUUUUUGCUGGGAGCUACGAGUGUGUCUGUGUUGUAAAGAGGGAGAGAUGCUGACUAGAUUUGCACCUCGGGAUUAGGCACAAGAAUAAUGUGCUGGGGUAGUCCCUGCCCUGAGGACCUAUAGCUUAAAAGACUGAGGGAGGUGGGGUGACAAAAGCAUUUAUGUUCGUUGUAUAGUUUGUGUCUUCAUCAGCUUUGGGCUUUGUUCCAUGAGUGAGAACAGAACUAGGACUUUGUGUGUUUUAGAAAGGUCAGCCCUCCUCUUCCAGUCCUGAUAACUGUUCAAGCCUGAUUUUGCAUACUUGAUUGCAGAAUUAUUUUCAGCUGAGUUUCUCUUUUCUGUUGGAGUUUGAAGAAAGUUGCUCUAGGUGUAAAAUAUCCACAAUGCUGAGAAGAAAAGGAGAUGUUUUCACCUAGCAGGCAAGUCCUCUCUGAUUUUCCCCACAAUAUCUGUGUCUGUGUGCAUGCGUGUGUUUGUGUUGUGUUUGGUGAGGGGUGUGUGUCAAGAAAUCAGAAGUUUGCCAGGGAAGUAAUGCAGGUGUUGGGGAAGUGAGUGUGAGUGUCCUAAUGGCAGACUUGCCUUUCCUCACAUACCUCCUGCAGUACUUUGGGAUUGUGGAUGUCAUAGGUUGAGAUUGCCCCCCCCCGAGAGGCUGGGGGGCUCGGAGGUGAUCGGGUGCCAGGGCAGUGUUCCCUGGAGAGCCAGUCACUGUCCAUGUUGUUCGCUUCUGCUCAAAAUCACAUAUCACAGCACCAGAAGCUGUUGGCAGUUCUGUCUUGGUUGUUGUGCUGUUGGUGUCUGCUGUGUGUAGGUGUUGAAGGCCAGGGGGUGGCUGGGCUCCUUCUCUCCCCCUCCAGGGGGAAGAGGGGAGCCCUGCAGCCCCCUGACUCUGCCUAGGCCAGAGUUGGAGACAGCAUUGAAUGAGUGCCUGUUUGUGAGGGAUGGACUCACAAACAACUGGUAAGUGGGAGGGAGAGGCAGGCCCUGCGGCCAGGCCCUCUUCUCCUCCCCACCUUCGCAGCCAGGCUGCAGAGCAGGGCUGGUUUUCCCUCUCGCUGUCCAGUGAGAGUGGAUUGAGGCUCAGCACUGCAGCAGAGCCAAGUGGACAGGCUGGAGGAGGCUCCAUUGCUGGGGAGACAAUCCCAGGCAAGAACUGGAGACGGACCCCAGAGAGAGAGAGGGGCCCAGAGGAUGUCCCUGCCAUGAACUAAAACGCAGGACAGCCGAAAACCCGAGGAGAAAUCAACAUUCCAGGACACAGACCCUUGAUAAGCUGAACUACACUGCAGCAGCCUACAACCGAGGUAUGAGAGGGAGAAAUCACACAGCAGCAGAAGAGCAAGGACUCAAAGCUAUCUUCUUGGACUUCAUGAGGAGAGAGACUGCAACAAACAACUAGAACUUGGUGAGGGGGGAGUGUUCAGGAGCCCAGAACACUCCCACGGCAAAGACUGGGUAAAGUAUCAGCCUUGAAAAGCUGCUCCUGGACUAAAGUUAAAGGAGGGGCUUGAAAGGACUGAGUGACAAAAAUGUAAAUGUAUAUAUAUAGUUGCUUUUAGUUUGUACAGUAUGUUUAUUUGUGUAAAUAAAUGUAUAUACUUCCCCCUUCCCCUACAGAAGCCUCUGGCCUGAAAGUUUCUCUCUGGUGUUAGGAUAAAUUGUGGGAAGGGGUGGGGGGAAGCCUGGAAAUUGGAUUUUGGAUUUCUAAUGUGGCUCAAACUGCCACAGUAGACCAGAGUUAAAAACACUGGUACUGUGAACCCCACUAAUGAGAAUGUCUCAUUUUCAAAAAGAAAUAUGAAUCUGUAAACCUUAGGCAGAAUAGAAUCAGGGGUGUAAAUGUCUGUUGUGAAGGGGCUCAGCCUCUAAAGGUGUUUGAGGUUGGAUCCAGUGCUGUUCUCAUAUGCUGUAGUAGGCUGACCCUAGUCUUAAGUGCCUGGCUUUGUGCCAGAUGUGUGUUGCUGUUAGUGGGUGGUACCAAUAAAGUACAUUAUUCGUACUUUAUUU
Pseudopipra pipra is the source of this 5977-nucleotide long non-coding RNA. RefSeq lists it as uncharacterized. Lineage: Eukaryota; Metazoa; Chordata; Aves; Passeriformes; Pipridae. The transcript has 2 exons. The record is from RefSeq and is a predicted model, not a curated record.